RNAcentral lists this ribosomal RNA (253 nucleotides) under uncultured bacterium. RNAcentral's name for it is "partial 16S ribosomal RNA". It matches the Rfam family "Bacterial small subunit ribosomal RNA", at positions 524 to 776 of the family's 1533-position model. The record is from RNAcentral.
UACGUAGGGUGCGAGCGUUAAUCGGAAUUACUGGGCGUAAAGCGUGCGCAGGCGGUUUUGUAAGUCAGAUGUGAAAUCCCCGGGCUUAACCUGGGAACUGCGUUUGAAACUACAAGGCUAGAGUGCGGCAGAGGGGGGUAGAAUUCCACGUGUAGCAGUGAAAUGCGUAGAUAUGUGGAGGAAUACCGAUGGCGAAGGCAGCCCCCUGGGUCGACACUGACGCUCAUGCACGAAAGCGUGGGGAGCAAACAGG